GCGCGCGCGGCGCGGGCACCACGUGACCCGGUGCCGGGUCACUCCCCGGGCCCCGCCAUGUCGGAGUUGGCCCCGCCCCCGGGGAGGGGAAAUGGCGGGGAUAAAGCCGUCUGUCCCGCUCCUCCUUAGCCUGGUGCUGCUUGCCGUGGUGCUCUUUUAUCCAGUAUACCCACAAGGGAGUAAAUCAGAAAGAGGAGACUGAGAAUGUUACAGGAAUCCAACUGUAUGUUUGGUUUAUUUUGUGUUCUAGUAUUACGCCGUGCACGGUGUUUGUUAGUCACAUGCAGUAUUACUGCAGGCAGACUGUAGUGGAGCUGUGCUUUGAAAGCUGCCUGGAGAUUUCAUAGGACAAGAAGUAUUCCUCCUGCCUCCUUAGUGGAGUGAAUCAGCAUGCAGAAGCUUCAGGGAGAGCUUUCCAUUUGAUUUUUAAGUUCCACUACAGGAAGAAGCCUUUGUCUUUAACAAAGUAUCUUGGAUAACCCUAUGGAAAUGGGACUGCCCACUAAUCCCCUGACUCCAGUAGAUCUUGAAUAUUACCGCACUAUAUACAGAGAUUCUUAAUCAUACAGAAAGAUAAUAAGAAGCUUACUUUGCAAGAUCUCUGUGCAACUCCUUAUUAAGUGAAUGGAGCUUUUGCACUUGAAAGCUUAUGGCAUAGAAUAAUGUCUUGGUAGAAGACAAACAGCUUUAUAGGUUUUGUGUGCAAUCUAAACUUGCUUUUGCCAGUAGACACAUGAGAACAGACUGCCUACUUUGCUUCUCCAUAGUUACCUGACCAACCUCUUCUGAUCUGGUGUGUAGGCUGGCAAGAUUAUGAGACUAGACAAAGUUUUAUUGUAGGUGCAAGACUUAAGAUCAAAGUAUGUCAGAAAUUCCUUCUUCUCUGCUACUACAGCAUUACUUCUGUUGUCUACUGCCCAUCACAGACUGCUCAGAACCAACAACCAUUAAAUAAAGACUAAUUCUUUUGGAAAAAAAAACCAGUUUUUACCUGAAGAGGAGUUGUGAACAUAGGGAACUUUGGACAUAGAGGAAAGAAACAGAUACAGAAAUAUAUACUACAUGGAUGAGGGAAGAGCAGCUGACAUCCUCUACCUGGACGUGUGUAAAGAAUUUGGCACUGUCCCAUACAACAUUUUUUCCUCUAAAUGGGAGAGACGUGGAUGUCAGAUGGACCACUCAGUGGAUAAGGAAUUGGCUGGAUGGUUGCAGUCAAGAGUUGUGGUCCAUGGCUUGAUGUCUGAGUGAAGACCAGUGACGAGUGGUGUUCCUCAGGGGUCAGUAUUGGCAUCAGCACUGUUUAACAUCUGUUGGUGUAACACACAGUGGGACUGAGUCCACCCUCAGCAAAUUUGCUGAUGGCACCAAGCUGUGUGGUGUGGUCAGCAUGCUGGAGGGAAGGGAUGGCAUCUAGAAGGACCUUGACAGGCUUGAGAGGUGGGCCUCUGGGAACCUGAUGGAGUUCAACAAGGCCAAGUGCAAGGUCCUGCACAUGGGUUGGGGCAAUCCCAAGCACAAAUAGAAGCUGAGCCAUGAGUAGGUUGAGAGCAGCCCUGUGAAGGAGACUUAGGAGUGAAUGGAAAAGGAAUGAGCUAGCAAUAUGUGUCUGCAGCCCAGAAAUCAACUCUGUCCUGGACUGCAUCAAAAGUAGUGUGGCCAGCAGGUCGAGGGAGGUGAUUCUUCCCUGCUAUUCAGCUUUUCUGAUAGCCCACCUGCAGUACUGUGUCCAACUGGGCUCCUCAAUGUAAGAAGGACAUGGACCUGUUGGAGUGAGUCCAGAGGAAGGCUGCAAAGAUGAUCAUAGGACUGGAGUACCUCUCCCGUGAAGACAGGCUUGAGAGAGUCGAGAUUGUUCAUCCUAGAGAAGAGAAGGCUCUGGGAAGAGAGCAGCCUUCCAGUACCUAAAAGGGCCUAUGAAGCUGUAGAGGGUCUUUGUAAAAAGGCAAGUAAUGAUAGGACAAGGAGUGAUGGUUUCAAACUGAAAGGUGGAUUUAAACUAGAUAUAAGGAGAGGGUAGUGAGGCACAAGAACAGGUUGCCCUGAGAGGCUGUGGCUGCUCCAUCCCUGACAGUAUUCUGGGCCAGAUUGGGUGGGGAUUUGAGCAACCUAGACUGGUGAAAAUUGUCCCUGCCCAUGGAAAGGGGGUUGGAACUAGAUGCUUUUGAAGUUCCUUUCCAACCCAAACCGUUCUAUCCGAUGGUUAGUAAUCUGUCUGGUGCAUUAUGGGGUUUAUAAGAACAACUGUAACCAAGUGACACAAAUACAUGUUCGGAUUGUCACAUUAAAAGUACUUAUUCACUGCUUUAGGAAAUCUGCACAAUAGGAAGCAAGUUUGGUUUUUUUUUUUUCAAUUAGGAAUCACAAAUAACAUAUUUUGUGAAUCACUUAUUUGGAAAUAAGUGCCUGUGAUUUUUAAGGCAGCCACCAUUUUGAGUUUGAGUCAAUUUCUAGGCAUGUGGGUAAGCCAGUAUUAAAAAAUUUUAGGAAUGUGAAACUGGUCACCACUGUGCUACUUUUGUCUCUGGUAACUCAGUGGUUCUAGUUCUUUAUCCUCUUUCUUGUUUGGUAUUUUAAAAUAAAGUAUUUAAUUUUGGAUCCAAUUAAAUUUUACUUCAAAGGGUUCUGUACUGUGCCACCUGGGGUGAGAAG
Long non-coding RNA from Colius striatus (speckled mousebird), 2649 nucleotides. RefSeq lists it as uncharacterized. The transcript is spliced from 4 exons. The record is from RefSeq and is a predicted model, not a curated record. Lineage: Eukaryota; Metazoa; Chordata; Aves; Coliiformes; Coliidae.